CAGGUGGUGCAUGGCUGUCGUCAGCUCGUGUCGUGAGAUGUUGGGUUAAGUCCCGCAACGAGCGCAACCCUUAUUCUAUGUUGCCAGCGGGUAAUGCCGGGGACUCGUGGAAGACUGCCGGGGUCAACUCGGAGGAAGGUGGGGACGACGUCAAGUCAUCAUGCCCCUUACGUCCAGGGCUGCAAACACGCUACAAUGGCCGGUACAAAGGGCUGCAAACCCGCGAGGGCAAGCGAAUCCCACAAAGCCGGUCUCAGUUCGGAUUGGAGGCUGCAACUCGCCUCCAUGAAGCUGGAGUUGCUAGUAAUCCCGGAUCAGCACGCCGGGGUGAAUACGUUCCCGGGCCUUGUACACACCGCCCGUCACACCACGAAAGUCGGCAACACCCGAAGCCGGUGGCCUAACCGCAAGGAAGGAGUCGUCGAAGGUGGGGUCGGUGAUUGGGGUGAAGUCGUAACAAGGUA
RNAcentral lists this ribosomal RNA (464 nucleotides) under uncultured Actinomycetes bacterium. Its description in RNAcentral is "bacterial SSU rRNA". It matches the Rfam family "Bacterial small subunit ribosomal RNA", at positions 1035 to 1498 of the family's 1533-position model. Lineage: Bacteria; Bacillati; Actinomycetota; Actinomycetes. The record is from RNAcentral.